CUUUCCCCAGAGUAGAAGGCUCA
RNAcentral lists this microRNA (23 nucleotides) under Macaca mulatta (Rhesus monkey). Its description in RNAcentral is "Mml-Novel-12_3p (mature (guide))". The record is from RNAcentral. Lineage: Eukaryota; Metazoa; Chordata; Mammalia; Primates; Cercopithecidae.